RNAcentral lists this ribosomal RNA (253 nucleotides) under uncultured bacterium. RNAcentral's name for it is "partial 16S ribosomal RNA". It matches the Rfam family "Bacterial small subunit ribosomal RNA", at positions 524 to 776 of the family's 1533-position model. The record is from RNAcentral.
UACGAAGGGGGCUAGCGUUGUUCGGAAUUACUGGGCGUAAAGCGCGUGUAGGCUGCUUGGCAAGUCGGAUGUGAAAGCCCUGGGCUCAACCCAGGAAGUGCAUUCGAAACUGCCGAGCUGGAGUCCUGGAGAGGAAGGCGGAAUUCUCGGUGUAGCGGUGAAAUGCGUAGAUAUCGAGAGGAACACCUGCGGCGAAGGCGGGUUGCUGGGCUGACACUGACGCUGAGGCGCGAAAGCUAGGGGAGCGAACGGG